This is a long non-coding RNA of Mus musculus (house mouse), 11345 nucleotides long. RefSeq annotates it as predicted gene, 33219. NCBI's taxonomy places the organism in Eukaryota, Metazoa, Chordata, Mammalia, Rodentia, Muridae. The transcript has 2 exons. The record is from RefSeq and is a predicted model, not a curated record.
UUAAGAAAAUAUCUAAUAAAAAAUUAAAAAAAAAGUCUUCCCUGGUUACUUAGAUAGAUUUCCUUCAAAAGUCAAAAGCAAACAAAAUGGAAAUAUCGAAAUAGCUGAGAAAGAAAUUAAGGACCACUUUGAGGGUAUUUUCAUCAAGUUUUGAUUGUGUAAAUUUUGCUUUUGAAGAGAGAUAGGAUGCAACUUUAUCCUUGCAAAGCAGCAAGGUUGGUCUGGGUCACCUCCACCUCACUUCCUGUCCCCAUGAUGUAGCCAGAUAUAGGGACAGUGGGGCUUGGGUCGGCAGCAGCUGCACAGUUACUUUGUCUGGCUGGUCAUUGAUGUGUUUAGCGUGUCCACAUACCAAGUUAAAAAACAAAUGAAUCUUGACAUUUCAUAUCACAAAACUAAUCUUCAUAAUCUUGAACUAUUUUUUAAAAACUAAAUUAAACCAAACUGACCAGUGUAAAUUAUAAAGCAAAGAGGAAAACACUUAAUAGUAGAGGAGUCUGGGCUUGCUUUUUUUCAGAUAUGCUAAGUCUUCACACUAAUUUCUUCAUGUAGCGUUUGUAGUUUGUAAAAGGAAAUUGUUUUUCUUGUAAUGGGAAAAAUCAUCACUCCUCUUAUGACACAAAACCUUAAUUUGAAGUCUCCUCUACUGGCCUAAACUAGUUACAACAAAAAUAUGUUAGUAAAGUGGGCAAAGGCCCUUCUUCCAUGGAGCUGUUUCACUACUCAGGAGCUACCCAGAAAGUCCUAAUGGAGGAAGAAGGGCAGGCAUGAGACCGGGAGAGGAGGGGGAGAGCACUACUGUGACGAAGUGUCUGGUAUGACAUGACCUGAACGCCUCUAAUCCCACCUUCUAAGGAGCAAAGUAUGAAAUGAGUUUAUCAGUUUUGGUCAAAGCAUACCACAGCUGAAAACAUGGGCAUAGCUUCCUUUUUCAUUUGGGUAGAUUGGAACACACCUCCCCAAAUCAAAUGGAAAUAGUAAAAUAUAAAAACUUUAUGAGUAUCCAGAUCCACCACACCUGGCUGCCCUAAUUGCCUUCAAGCAAGUCAUUACUGGGGAAGCAAGAUGUUUAGCCACCAACAGCCCUUAUUAAUGUAUAAUAGGGAUUUACUUGUAAAACAGAAUUACUGGGAUGGCAUGACGUCAUAAAGACAGAAUGCUGACAUUUUAGAUGGUUUUAUAUGGUGGGGUCGAAUUAGAACUUAGGAGUGGAAUAUUCUUUUGGUAAUUAAUCACAAUUUGGUAUGGCCUCAAUGCAGGUUAGUUGAAUAGUUUUAUAAAAUUUCUCUCUAUAAUACAGCACUAUCAAAUAUCAUAUUUGUAAUUUUCAGGAACUAUCUAUAGAAGAGAAAAAUCUCUGCUAGUCUGCAGAUGUGCUAAAUAUAACCACAGCAGGUGCAAAUAAAUUAAAUGUUUCAACAAAGCUACUUCCCUAACUUCUAUUAAAAAAAUUACAUUUGAAAAGUAUUAAAAUGCCUGCACAUUCUUUUUGGCAUCAGUGAUUCAAGAAAAAGGAUGUAUUUGUUUUUUUAGAUUACAAACUCAGACCUGUCAGUCUGACUGUGUGAUUAAUAGGUACAGACUUUUACCCGCCCCAUAAAUAUAAUGGGCCUUGAUUAUUGGGUUCAGUUUGCAGAGCAAUAGUUAAUGUGAUGUCAACACUUCCAAUGCAAGCCUUCUUUUUUUUGAAGGGGUUUAUAACUCGACCAUAAAAAAUCACUUGGGAUGACACUUUGAAUAUGAACCUUAAUCUGGGGAACAGAGACGUUUUAAGGAAUAGAUUUAAGUAAUCCAUUACCUGUUUUAGGGUUAUGAGGAUCUAAUCUGUAUAUAAAAAUUCAAGUUUUAUAUGCUUUCAAUACAAAAAUCGUAAAUAAUUUGGUUUCCUAAUACUCAUUUUGUUAGUUUUCUUAAGGACAUAGUCUGUAGAUAGAUAUUUUAUAGUUCAUUUUAGGCUGAAAAGGACAUCUUUAAACACAAUUAUAUAUAUAUAUCAGGAGACGUUUAAUAAAUGAUUCAGUAUUAAGCUCUUUGGUAUUUUGUGGUAAGUAACCACAUAAAGUCAUGUCUCAGUCCUAAUGAGGAGUUCCAAGACAAGCAGGGCACAAUGGCACAUACCCAUAGUCCCAUCUACCCUGGAGCCUGAGGCUGGGUCACUUGAGCACUGGAGUUUAAGGCUAGCCUGGGCAGAUACCCCUUAAGCUAAAAACAAGACAAAAUGGUUUUCCAAGUUAAAAGAAUUCCAGGACACAGCAUAAUACAUAUAACCCUUGGAAAGUACACAGUGGGACACCUUCAGUAAGAAGGUGCCUUCGGGUCUCCUGUAGCCAAAGACGUCAGUCAAAGAUGACUGACUCCCAGUCCUCCUGCUCUCAUGUCUCAAGUGCUGGCGAGAGCUGUGUGCACCGUACCCAGCUAGCUCUACAUCUUGUUUUCUAGUGAGAGAAACUUGACAAAAACCUGCUCUAAGGCUUGUUCCCACCAUCUCCUGAGCACUGAGACUGCAUAAGAGAUGGGAGCCCCACUCUCAGAAACUUGAGACUUCUUUCUUUUCUAGCUGGAUCAUGAAAGGACUGGGGAAUGCUUGACAGUUUUAACUGGCAGUACGUCUCGAAGUUUCUAAGCACAGAACAGAAGGAGGCCAGGAUUCCUGUUGGAAUCUGAAGCCAUGGAUAAGAAGCUGUGUUCAGAACUCAGACUUUUAAAGUGGGUGCCUGGCUGCCACAAUUUACUGAACUUACUGGGUACAUGAAAAGUUUUUAUUUUAAAGUGGUUAUCUUCUUGUACUUUGUAAUGAUUCCAAAGCCCCCAGUUGACCAGGUUGAAAGGGGUGGCUGUGUGUGUUUGUUUUUCCCAUGGAGGAGAUGGAGAGACUCAGCAUGCUGUAAAACCAAUGAGCAAGACUGUACCACUUGGCUCUGUCUGAUUGGUUCAUUCCAUGUCUGAGAUGUGUCCUUACUACCUAGUCCAAGCUGCCCUCAAACACAGCGUCUUCCCGUCUCAGCCUCCCUGCCUAGCAAGACUCUUAAACUCACCACAAUCUGACAGUUGUGGGAUUUCUUCCUCUUUCUUACUCACUUCCGCCUUUUCAGAUUCUAUCUUUUCCCUUUCCCUCUUUUAGAAGGUAGAAUUUUCCCUUUAACGAGCAGUAGCAAACCAUUGGCAGGGAAGGCAUCCUUAGCGCCCCAGCUGUGGAGCACAAGGAGCACGUCUGGAAUCCUUUUCAGGCAACACAAAGUGCUUCAAUAGGGCAGCUCAUGACUGACAAGUAUUCAGCCCUCAUGACUGGUUACAUUUAGACCAUUCCCAAUAUCAGAUGUAAUGAUCAAACUACAUCCGUAACCAUUCUCUCGUCAUUCAAGAAACCAAUCUUUUUGUGUUGUUAGACUUAGAAUCAGACAAGCUAAGAUGAAGGGGCAGUCCACAUAAUCCUGAGGUUGACAGUCCAUGGCAGAGGGUCCUCAGUGAGUUAGCCGGGAUCCAGUAUGUCUUUGAAGAGCUGUCACUGAAGAACCCCAUCAUGGGCUCAGCUUUACAGUGUCAAUGAUUGAUGCAGUAACACAUCAGCUCAUGGCACUGCACUUUAAAAACUACAAAUAACUAAGCACACUGGCAUGAACAAAUGUACCGCACAGCCAACCUAUGAAGUGGAUGUUUCUGUGGAAACAGAGCCUGAAGUUUUCGUCUAUGGUUUAGGAUCCCCUAGCUUGGUGACUGUGGAACUGGCAUGAGGACCCAGAUUUAUAUUAUUCUCAAGUGUAUAGUGCACCAAUCCACUUCGCACAGUAACCCAAAGUCAAAUAGUCAUAAUUACUCACUGUUUAUUGAGUGCCUCUCAAUUGAUGGGCCUCAUGCAGAUUUGGAAGCUGAGUUAUAUACAAGAUGGCCUUAAAAGUUAUGAGUAGGGAAGUGUAUCAGAAACCUCUGACCCUGUGUGAGAACCAAGCUGAGGGGCAAAAGAAGCACCAAGGGGAGCCUGGGGCAGAGCUGUCUGAUCGCUUCCAGAGAUAGUCCCAGACGGGGUGGCUGGGAGGAGGGGCGGUACGUAAAGUCCUGUGAUCUGUGGCCCUGGCACAGUAAGUGAGAAAGUAAGUCUGAAGCACUCAGCAGGGUCGAGGCUGCGAGCUAGGCCUUACGGUUAGGGUUGGAGAAGCUUGGCUUUCAUAGGCCUGUGGGAGACAGGAGAGUCUUGAGCUAGACUGCUACGAUCAGAUUAGCAUUUGUGGAGCUGUUCUUGGGUGCCCUCUGGAGGGUGGCUUAGCUAUGGCUCUGGAGGCCUGGGGCCAGAUGCUAUUGCUGGUCAGAAGCAGAUUCCAGUAGUCUUCAGAUGGAUGCACCUGCUCCUUUGUGGUUUAGCUGAGGGUGUUUUCCAGGAGGAGCUGAAGGUAGGUAAUGGGCCCAUAUAUGGCUCUCAUUCUGGAGAAGACCAGAGGAGGGGCCAGAUACAGGGGAGCUUUCAGACAGGCUGGGGUGAUCUGUCCUGCUAGUCUGAUAGUCCAGUGGAGCUGGAGGAAGAGACUUGAGAGCCAUCACUAAACAGAGGAAAAGAGAGAACACAGAACACCCAUGAAGACAUCCUAGACAAGGACCUUCAUGGCUGGACAAAGGAAGGAGUGAUGAGAAGCAGAGGAGAAUGGCAAGCCCAGGGGAGAGGGGCCUAGGCGUCACAUUGCUCUUAACUGGAGUGGUGAGCUUUUCAGCAUGCGCAUACGGGCACACAUACAUGUGUACACACAUACAUUCACUCACAUGCACAUGUGCUGCCUUGAAGGAGGUGAUCUGUGGCAUGGCCUGUUUGAAACGCUCUGCCAGGUCUUACAUUUUGCCUGAAGAAUGCUUUAGCAGUCUUUAAAAGUUUUAAGUCUCCAUGUACUUUCUCAUGACCAUCAGACACAAUUUAUUCUAACAUAGCGAAGGAGCUUUUAAGUAAUAAAUUUAAUUUCUAGCUCAAAAUAUAGUAUUCUUAGUUAGGGAGAGUUUUGAAGUCAACUUAUUUAGACCCUUAAUGUAACUUACGUCGCUGAUUUAUUCAAUAAAUUCUCACUACUCUGUCACAACCAGGUAUGUACAUUAUGGCCCUUUAUUCUAUUCACUUUGUUAAGAACAUAGAAGAAUGAAGUUUUGAUAUUAUGGGAAUACUGCUGUAUUUGAGCUACUAGAGAUGGAGAAACUUCAGUCUGUGAUUUUGGGGUGGGGGUAAUCUUGAUAGAUUAGAAACACAAGAUUUUGAAUCUGAAAGAUUUUGAAUCCCAAAUUCUCUGGCCUUUAUAAUAUACCAAGUUCCUGCUGUCAGUAUUGCCUAGAAUACUGCCCUAUGUCCUCUCUCAUGGGAUAGGGCUCUGGUUAUGGCUGCAGGGUGCAGCAGAGGUCACUGUAAGCAUUUCUGGUGCUCCAAGCUUAUCCAAUGUCAUAGGCACUCUAUUCUGUCGUCUCAGACCCCUUCCAUGACCCUACAGUGCUGGCUGAGCAUACGGAUGGAUUGAGUAGCUGAUAGAGGUGGAGAUGCUGGCUGAGCAUACGGAUGGAUUGAGUAGCUGAUACAGGUAGAGACUGCAUCGCUGAUGCUGAGCAUCAUCGAACGUUUGUAGAGCUUCUGGUGCUCGGAGAAAUCUCUUCUCCAACCCUGCCCUCUGAGGAUUGAUUCCACCCAUUCCAGGGCUUCCUCUGAGGUGGAGCUGAGCUCAUGUUGGUGGCUGCCCUCCACUUGCUGCUCGUCUGCAUGGCUUUCCUCUCAGAGUGCACUCAUCAUGAGGGGCAUUCAUGCCACAUCUGUCUGGCCCCAACCUUAUCUCCACUGGGUUGCAUCCCAGCCUGCUGUUUUCCCUAUUACCCUGAAGUCAGAGGAUACAAAAAAACAAAACAAAACAAAAACCUCUCCCUCAGCUGUCUACUUCCUCCAUGUUUCCUCCCCUCUGAUCCCUCCCUCCCUCCUCUCCUCCCUCCUUUUUGUUCUUGUUUUUUGACAAAUUCAUACUUUGAUUGUAUUCAUCCUCCAUUUUCUCUUGCUCCUCUCUAUACUCAAAAUGGUUCCACGAAAUUUUCUUGCCUUUCCCACCAAAGCCAUGCAUAAUAAAACACUACUAUACGGUGUCUUGGGGUUUCUACCUGUUCUAAAUGUUAGCUAUUCUAAGUCUAGAGUUCAGGCAAAUGUAUGGGUGGCUGUUGGCUCCUACAGUUUGUGAACAAUUAUUUUGGCUUGAAUAUUUAUCUCUAAACAGGGAGAGGGUGAGGUUCCCACCAGCACUGGCAGAUCUAUCUCUCUUGUCUGACAUUUCCACGUCUUAAAUGUUUUGUCGUAGUGUGAGACACUUCUGGGGGUAUAGAAUUUUUCCUCUUUAAUUUAUUCUUUUUUUCUGUUCCCAAAUUGCAGGCUCUGGCAUAGCAUCAAGGGAGACCUAGCCCACCCUUUGCAUUAUAUACUUAGAGUCUACUGACCCUUUCUAUUCUGACAGUUGAAAGCUGCUUGCCUGAAACUGAGUCCAGCUUCCAGGUGCUAGUUUGUCAUUUUUGAGUAGCAUUGUAGUUUGCCUACCACAAGAGGGCAGCACAGGCAACUGCAGAGAACAGAUGCCUGCAGGCAGAGUGCUGGCAGCAUGAAGGCUUCUGAGCCUGCAAGCCCUGUCACCCAAACAUGUAUGGUGGGCUCAGUGGUUCUCUGUGAGGGGAAAAGCAGACAUGGCUGUGGCCCCCUUAUAGGUAGGUAGACUGACCCUGAAGGCUUAGUGGUGACUUACAUGGCCAGGAAAUGGUUACACAGCCAGCAAAUCCCAUGCUUGAAUCUAAGGCUCUUCUAGAAUUCCCCCUGCCAACAGGUGGGGCAGUAUCAUCAUAGUAGUGACAUAUAUUUAACAAGGUGUACAAAUGUAGAAAACCAUAUGUCCUAUGCCAGCAGUUUUAUGUUUUGGUUUUGGUGUUUUUGUUUUCUUUUUGUUGUUCUUGGUUCUGUGUGUUGAUUGUUUUUGUUUGUAUGUUUGUUUGACCAAGCAUCUUGAGUGACCCCAGUGUUCUUCUGUUCCAACGAGACAGAAAAGGAUGGGACUGCUGACCUCAUACAAACCACCCUGCCUAGUCUCACCAAUCUCUCAGUUGUUCCAAGCUAGUUUAUAUGAAGCAUCUUAAAAAUCUAAGACAGAGGAUCAUGAGAGUGUCAACAAGGAGAAAGCAGGCCCCAUAUCUUUAAAACCCAAUCAGCUCUUGCCCAAGUCACCCUCCCACCACCAGCUGAAGACUCUCCUAACUCUCCAGUCAGAGACCUAGGCCACUGGGUGGUCUGCCACAUGUGGUGACUCACUGGACGAAUCUCAGAUUUACUCCAGGGGGUUCUGCCACUUUUGUACUUAGGUGAUUCUAUCAGGUAAUUAAUUUUAAGAGCGUAUGUUUGUUAGUUGAAGGAAAGAAAAAAAAAAAGGUUCAAGUAGCAUUGCCUGUUUAGGCUGGCUACCCAGGAUUCAUAACUUUCAAUUUGAGACCAGAGUGGGGAAGUCAGUAUGUGAAAAAUAGGUAGUAUCUAGCUGCCUUUUUAAAUCAGUAAAAUAAUUAAAGUCUUUGUACUUUGGCAUACUAAUGUAUUGCACAUCUGCAGAGUUCGCUUAAUAAGGAAAAUGCUUGAAAAAGAUAAAAUUCCAAAGCCAAAAGCAGCUAAUAGUUGGAAAAAAAUCCUUGUAGUGAUUAAUUGACCUCUUUUUCUCUGAAGAGACUAAACAUUUCCUAACCGCCCUGCGCUGGUGCGGCCCCUGUCGAGCUCUCGUUCCCAGUGAUAAGGGCCAGCACCAGGGUUUCUGUUCACCAUUUUCUUAGGUCCCAGUGUAAGGACCGUUGUUGUGUUUAGGGAGAGAACACAAAUAUUUAUUUUAAAAGUUUCUUUAAACAAAUUCUUAGUGGAGGGUAGAGCUCUCUAAUGCACUGCAGCUGGGCUGCUGGCCUUUAAAGUUGGUUGCCGUCUGUACACUAAGUCCUCUCUCUGCAAGUGCUCAGCCCAGCGAGCAUAGCUCCGACGCGUCUCUGGAUACGGAUUUACAUCCCAGGAGCAGGCCUUACUCUGGGGCUGCUGAGGCCUACCUAGGAAAAGCCCCUAGUGUACAUUUAUUAGGAAGUGCUCAGUGCAUAUUUGCAAGUACUCUCUUAGAGAGACAGUUGUGUAAAGAUUCACUAACUUACACGUUUCCUUAAAUUCUUAAGUGAAAGACAGCAAUUUGUAGCAAACCAGAGAAAAAGAAGGAACAGCAUACAUUUCAGAUACCCCGAAUUCUACUUGAAUUUUCUUCCAUUCUCAUGUGGGUUCACGGAGGUGAGAAAGUUGUUAUUUUAACCAGGACUCAGGGUUUACAUCUCAGUCUGACUGUCUGCAGCGUUCUUGGAAUUCCGUCUGUCUUUCCAGGGAGGCCUGUCACAGGGAGAGGAGGCUGUUGUUGGCUUUUUUUCCUCUCCCUUUUCUUGCUGGCUUGUCUAUGCUGAGCCUGGCCUUACCCCAAGUAUAUGGGUGGUAUAUGUUUUAAGUUGAUAUAUUAAUGUUGAAUUUUUAUUGUCAUGGUUUCUGUUCAUACUCCUUUCAAACCUUUCAUUUAUUUGUUUCUGAACCUUGGCUAUCUCAUAAAAAUGUCACCAUUGUGGUUGAACAUUAAGCACCUUCCCAUUUUUCUCUGGGCCGUUGAAAUAAAUUUGGACCAGGUGCUCUACUCAUAAUGGAGCCCCUUGAAGUGCCCUGAUAAUGAGCCGGGAGCGGAAGCUGUCAGCCUUCAGCUGGCUUGAAGAAUGCAAUUAGAGCAGUUUAAUACUGCAGCAGGACCCCAUCCAGUCAAGGCCACGGGACUUGAGACCUAGUCGAGAAACAUGCACUUUAGGCACAUCAGCAUCUCUGCUGCCUGAGCCUGGGAGAAACAGCAGACUCAGGAUAAUAAGCCACGAGGAGAAAAUGCUCUAAAGGUGACAGUGUUCUCAGCCAUCUCUUCUAUUCUGAGGUUGUUAGGACCUUAUUUAUGACUUAUGAUCUGAUGUCACUGGGAUCAAAAUUACCAGUGUCAAAUUAAGUUUUAAAUCAACUAAGGACACAGAAGGCCUUAGACUUCUACCCUAUGAAAAUAGAACAAUUUUUAAGAGCAAAAAAUUUAGAUUCACUUAAAUAUCCAUUAACAUCAAGAGUGCUCAAAGAGUAUAUCUAUAUAAUAUGGAAUAGUAUGCAGCAAUUAGAAAGAAUAAUAUUGUCUAAUUGUUUAAGCAGUUUUAUAUAGUCUUAUAUGUUGAGAGAAAAACUAACUUAAAGUAUGUAUUUGUAUAGGAAACGUUGUGAAGAAGAAACUGAGAUGAGUGAGACUAGGAGGUUGUAUUUACUCUAUGCAAGUUUAAAAAUUAUUUUCCAGCAUUUAACUAGUGACUUCAAUAUUCUUGGAAUGGGAUUACUCUCUGUCAGACGCGUGACUUCCUGUAAGUAAGUAAAGGUUUCACAGGCAGAAGGAGGCGUAGAGGAGCCUCGCUGCUCUGGAUAGUGAGGGGAAUUGACUUGGAAACAGAUCUGCGUUUGCUGCCCAUUUGAGGGCACAGAUGUGGAGAGGCCCGGAGGCUGUCGGUAGCUCUCUGUCCUUGUCUAAAGGAAAGGCAUGUUCUCUUUCCAGGACCACAUCCUUUUUCAUCCUUUACUUCUCUCCAGAAAAUGAGAGCAUAGCCCAGCAACCAUUGUUGCUGUUGUUAUAAACAUUGUAAUAAGCACUCGGCUGCAGGAUCCUUAAAGGAUUCCCCCCUGAGUGGGUUGUCCCAAAAUGCACCACGUAACGCCAUGUCAAUUCAGUCUUGUUUGGGCACCAUUAAAAACAUAGUAGUUUUACACAGCUCUCCAGGCAAGAAUGACCUCAUUAAUGAGAAGAGGCAUAUAACAGUUAAAGCCUCAAACGCUCAUGAAGGUAUUAUUUUAAAACCUUUUAAAUGCCAAACACCAGGCUGUUUAAAUAGCUUGUUUCAUGUAAUAUUUAUUAGUUAUUAAGCCUCAUUUUUGUUUUGUUCUAUACAAAUAGGAAGUUUACUUCAAAUGACCACAGAGAGAGAUUUCUGUUAUCUUCCCCUCCUUAGUUUCUUGGAGUUUGCUGAGUUUGGAUUCCUCUUUGUGUAGACCAUUUCUUUCCCUUUAGCAUUUUAAGAUAUUGAGCACAAGAUUAAAAUCCUGCUUUCCACUUGAGCUCUACUCCACAGCUCAAAUUUUGUAAUUGUUCCUCUGACUGCAACAGUUACUAAUUUUAGCUACAAGUAAGCUUCCUCCUGUGACUUGCACCUACACUCCCCUUCUGGCACCCUCACAGUGACCUGUCACCGUGCUUGCAUGAGAUGACUUAAAUGUCCUUGGACAGGAAAAAGUGCAGCCCAUGGACCACUCCGAGGCACUUUAAAUAGUGUGCAUGGGCUUUCCUAACGCAGGUUAGCUGUGUGUUGAUAAAUCCACAGAAGUAGAGUAUGCCGGAGAGGCCUCCCCUCUGCUGCUCCCAACUAGCCAGAACUGGUUUCCUUUGUGAGACUCCACACCAAUUUAAAAGGCAGAGUGUGCUUGACAUCUGGACUCCUAUUUUUUUUUUAUACCAUGUCUUUCUAAUUGUGUUUUUAAGCUAUUCUUUGUUUCUUAAUCAUCACUCUGUAAGUAUAAGAUUCUCGCAGCCAUUUGUCUCUCUUUACUACAAAGAACAACGCACAAGUCCAGGGGCUUCUAUGCAGACAGGGUGUACAUCUCCGAAAUUACUUCUGGAGAGUAACUGUUCCCAGACAGCAGGACAGUGCAGACUGGAGCCACUUAGUGAGGUGUGAAGGCUCCUCCUCCCUCUGAGGGGAAGCGUGGUUUGUGAGAAUGGUAGGUGCCGGUGACUUGGUCCUCUAUUCGAAGUGAAACCAGAGCAAACCACAGGGGUUCCGUUCUGGAGAGUCAAUUUGCUCAAGAGUUUGCUUAGCUAGGCCUGGGACUCUUGGGUGAGACCUUCCAUAAGACAAUAGGGCGGUGAGCAGCUUGAAGUCAGCACUCUGCUGAAGGCAGGCAGGCUGGGGAGAGCUUGUCUCUGAAGACACUGCAGCGAGGAGAGAGCAAGCUGGGUCUCAGGCCCAGCUCUAGACCGCUAGACCUGCCCUGCUAUGCCCUGGGUGACCUCUUGCCAUGAAGAGUGCCUGUCUCAGGGAGUCCUCUGAUCAGUGAAAUCUAGAUGUCAGUGGUGCUCUACUUUGUGUGAGAGAGUAGCUUUAUCUGCUGCUUGUUAGUCACCUGUCUGUACACCAAAGCCAUCAGCUGGCUGGGACGAAGGGACUAGGCAAGAGAGGCUGGCUUUGUAUUUUCCCUAAAUGUAGGUGGUUUUGUGUCACCCAUAAAAUGUAAAAAAAAA